Molecule: long non-coding RNA, 460 nt
Organism: Erpetoichthys calabaricus (reedfish)
Lineage: Eukaryota; Metazoa; Chordata; Cladistia; Polypteriformes; Polypteridae
Exons: 3
Source: RefSeq, a predicted model, not a curated record
AUUUUAAAAACUUCAGUUGUAUCACCUCUUUAUUUCUGUUUGCUUAAAACACAUAAUAAUAUUAAAGAACCCAGCUGUCCUGUGCAGUCACUUCUUUCCCUACAUGACUAUUAGCACUAACACCAGUAGAUUCCAUUAGAUAUUUUUUCCGCAGGUUAUAAGACCACUCAGUGGUUGCUCAUACUGAUACUUCCACGAUUAUAAUACUUAUGUAUUUUCUGAUCUUGAAUGGUUGUACUCAUUGUCUGUCACUGGUAUUAUGCCACUGUCACUAGUCAGUCAGUCACUUCUGCAGGUCACAGGUCAUAAGACCACUCAGCGGUCGUUUAAAUGGACAUCUGCAUAGGUAUAUUAUAUUACUUGUGCAUCUUCUAAUCUUGAAUGGUGUGCUGCUCAUUGCUGUACUCGUUGUCUGUCGUUGGUAUUAUAGUACUGUCACUAGUCAGUCAGUCAUGUCUGC